This is a non-coding RNA of Dipodomys ordii (Ord's kangaroo rat), 45 nucleotides long. The record is from Rfam. NCBI's taxonomy places the organism in Eukaryota, Metazoa, Chordata, Mammalia, Rodentia, Heteromyidae.
CCAAAGGUUCUUUUCAGAGCCACCAUUUGGCCUAAAAGACCUGAG